GGGGCCAACCAUCGAAGCAAGAAAGAGUGACACCAUUAUGGGCAGAGUUUACAAUCGUGCAGGGUAUAACAUUACAAUCUAUUGAUACAUCUCAAAAUCUUCAAGCACUUGUAAUAUUUGAAACUACAUACUAAAUGAACUAUGUACCAUUUUAUCCAAAAAAAAUACACUACAUAUCGAGUUCCUAUAUAUGAUGGACCGUCGUCGAUCGGCACCAUA
Molecule: long non-coding RNA, 219 nt
Filed under: Elaeis guineensis (African oil palm)
Lineage: Eukaryota; Viridiplantae; Streptophyta; Magnoliopsida; Arecales; Arecaceae
Description: long non-coding RNA (EGUI_LNC049124)
Source: RNAcentral